This is a long non-coding RNA of Myxocyprinus asiaticus (Chinese sucker), 255 nucleotides long. RefSeq lists it as uncharacterized. The transcript has 3 exons. NCBI's taxonomy places the organism in Eukaryota, Metazoa, Chordata, Actinopteri, Cypriniformes, Catostomidae. The record is from RefSeq and is a predicted model, not a curated record.
UGCCAAUCUCUUUCUGCAGAUGCAUGACCUCAUAGAGUAGAUUCUGAAGCUGCAGGUGAAGAACAUCCACUCGCUGCUUCGCCUGUGGACAGAGGGAGAGACAGAAAAUUGCUGAGAAGAUGAAGACACAAAGGUUUGGAACAACGAGAGGGAAAUAUGACCCAGACCUCAUGAGAAUAUUGUGCACCAAGAAUGUGUAAAAUUGUCCUUUCACCCACAUGUGCAACACAGAAUUUGUGGGAUGUUUGACAGCUG